This 63-nucleotide transfer RNA is filed under the name Rattus norvegicus (Norway rat). It matches the Rfam family "tRNA". Rfam says of the family: Transfer RNA (tRNA) molecules are approximately 80 nucleotides in length. Lineage: Eukaryota; Metazoa; Chordata; Mammalia; Rodentia; Muridae. The record is from Rfam by way of RNAcentral.
GGGGAUUUAGCUCUGUGGUAGAGCACUUGCCUAGCAAGCGCAAGGCCCUGGGUUCAGUCCCCA